RNAcentral lists this unclassified non-coding RNA (285 nucleotides) under Hevea brasiliensis (rubber tree). Lineage: Eukaryota; Viridiplantae; Streptophyta; Magnoliopsida; Malpighiales; Euphorbiaceae. The record is from RNAcentral.
GUUUAUUUUUUCUACAUCUUCUCUCCCAAAGAUUGAACAGGAAAAAAGUGUAGUUGUUGACAGCCUUUCGGGGAUCUCAAGGGCCUGACCCCUCGAUCUUUCCGAAGCUGUUUUAGCAUCUUAGCCAUUGCCUUCCUUAGAAGCUAAUUCUCCUCCUCCAUCUCCAAUAAAUUUCGUUUCACACAAGGAGAAGGAUAAGAGAUACAGUCACAGAAAUGGCGGCUCUUUCUUCAAUACAUUGUCGUUCUUAUUCAUAUUCGCCCUUUUUAUUUUCUUCUUCUUCUU